RNAcentral lists this ribosomal RNA (411 nucleotides) under uncultured prokaryote. Its description in RNAcentral is "bacterial SSU rRNA". It matches the Rfam family "Bacterial small subunit ribosomal RNA", at positions 355 to 776 of the family's 1533-position model. RNAcentral also lists the same sequence under 1 other name. The record is from RNAcentral.
UGGGGAAUAUUGCGCAAUGGGCGGAAGCCUGACGCAGCGACGCCGCGUGGGGGAUGACGGCCUUCGGGUUGUAAACCUCUUUCGGCCCCGACGAAGCGUUGAGUGACGGUAGGGGUAGAAGAAGCACCGGCCAACUACGUGCCAGCAGCCGCGGUAACACGUAGGGGGCGAGCGUUGUCCGGAAUUAUUGGGCGGAAAGAGCUCGUAGGCGGUGUGUCGCGUCGGCCGUGAAAACCUGUGGCUUAACUGUGGGCUUGCGGUCGAUACGGGCAUCACUGGAGUUCGGCAGGGGAGACUGGAAUUCCUGGUGUAGCGGUGAAAUGCGCAGAUAUCAGGAGGAACACCGGUGGCGAAGGCGGGUCUCUGGGCCGAUACUGACGCUGAGGAGCGAAAGCGUGGGGAGCGAACAGG